GCCCGGCAGACACAAGACUGGGCCCUCAUAAACUCAGACAGCCCGGCAUGUCACCUGUUGUACCUGCCCUUUCAGCUCUGUGACCCGGGACAAGUCACCCUCUCCCUUUGAGUUGCCGCAAGAGGCUCAUAGGUGGAAGGGACUUGCCUUGUCUCAGAUGAAACAUUGGACUUGGACUUUUGGAUUAAUGCUGGAAUGAGUUAAGACUUUGGGGGACUGUUGGAAGAGCAUGAUCGUGUUUUGAAAUGUGACGACGUGAAAUUUGGAAGGGGCCAGGGGCAGAAAUAUAUGGUUUGGCCCUGUGUCUCCACCCAAAUCUCACUUUGAAUUGUAAUAAUCCCCACAUGUCCAGGGCAGGGUCAGGCAGAGUUAAUGGAAUCAUGAGGGUGGUUUCCCCCAUGCUGUUCUUGUGGUAGUGAAUAAGUCUCAUGAGAGCUGAUGGUUUUAUAAAUUGGAGUCCCCUUGCACAAGCUCUCUUGCUUGCCACCAUGUAAGAUGUGACUUUGCUCCUCAUUCUCCAUCCACCAUGAUUGGGAGGCCUCCCCAGCCUUGUGGAACUGUGAGUCCAUUAAACCUCUUUCCUGUAUAAAUUA
This 593-nucleotide long non-coding RNA is filed under the name Homo sapiens (human). Its description in RNAcentral is "novel transcript, antisense to SERPINA9". The record is from RNAcentral. Lineage: Eukaryota; Metazoa; Chordata; Mammalia; Primates; Hominidae.